AUUGAACGCUGGCGGCAUGCCUUACACAUGCAAGUCGAACGGCAGCACGGGGCAACCUGGUGGCGAGUGGCGAACGGGUGAGUAAUGUAUCGGAACGUACCAUUCAGUGGGGGAUAACGUAGCGAAAGUUACGCUAAUACCGCAUAUUCUGUGAGCAGGAAAGCAGGGGAUCGCAAGACCUUGCGCUGAUUGAGCGGCCGAUAUCAGAUUAGCUAGUUGGUGAGGUAAAAGCUCACCAAGGCGACGAUCUGUAGCGGGUCUGAGAGGAUGAUCCGCCACACUGGAACUGAGACACGGUCCAGACUCCUACGGGAGGCAGCAGUGGGGAAUUUUGGACAAUGGGGGCAACCCUGAUCCAGCCAUGCCGCGUGAGUGAAGAAGGCCUUCGGGUUGUAAAGCUCUUUCGGCCGGGAAGAAAUCGCAUGGGUUAAUACCUGUGCGGAUGACGGUACCGGCAUAAGAAGCACCGGCUAACUACGUGCCACG
This 486-nucleotide ribosomal RNA is filed under the name uncultured bacterium. Its description in RNAcentral is "bacterial SSU rRNA". It matches the Rfam family "Bacterial small subunit ribosomal RNA", at positions 30 to 512 of the family's 1533-position model. The record is from RNAcentral.